This 674-nucleotide ribosomal RNA is filed under the name Paenibacillus sp. AM40T. Its description in RNAcentral is "bacterial SSU rRNA". It matches the Rfam family "Bacterial small subunit ribosomal RNA", at positions 28 to 682 of the family's 1533-position model. The record is from RNAcentral. Lineage: Bacteria; Bacillati; Bacillota; Bacilli; Caryophanales; Paenibacillaceae.
GACAAACGCUGGCGGCAUGCCUAAUACAUGCAAGUCGAGCGGACUUGAAGAGAAGCUUGCUUCUCUGAUGGUUAGCGGCGGACGGGUGAGUAACACGUAGGCAACCUGCCCUCAAGUUUGGGACAACUACCGGAAACGGUAGCUAAUACCGAAUAGUUGUUUUCUUCGCCUGAAGAGAACUGGAAAGACGGAGCAAUCUGUCACUUGGGGAUGGGCCUGCGGCGCAUUAGCUAGUUGGUGAGGUAACGGCUCACCAAGGCGACGAUGCGUAGCCGACCUGAGAGGGUGAUCGGCCACACUGGGACUGAGACACGGCCCAGACUCCUACGGGAGGCAGCAGUAGGGAAUCUUCCGCAAUGGGCGAAAGCCUGACGGAGCAAUGCCGCGUGAGUGAUGAAGGUUUUCGGAUCGUAAAGCUCUGUUGCCAGGGAAGAACGCUUGGGAGAGUAACUGCUCUCAAGGUGACGGUACCUGAGAAGAAAGCCCCGGCUAACUACGUGCCAGCAGCCGCGGUAAUACGUAGGGGGCAAGCGUUGUCCGGAAUUAUUGGGCGUAAAGCGCGCGCAGGCGGUCAUUUAAGUCUGGUGUUUAAUCCCGGGGCUCAACCCCGGAUCGCACUGGAAACUGGGUGACUUGAGUGCAAAAAAGGAGAGUGGAAUUCCACGUGUAGCGGU